GUGCCGGCGGCGGCGGUGGGAAGCGUGGGUACCCUGCAACAUUAGGAGGCUCCUUCGUUGCUACAGUACUUAGUUUCCCCUUCGUCCUUCCUUCUUUUCAUUUGUCACCAAGCCUCCCGGGGUGUCGGCCCUCCUCCUGGUUGGCCACCGGAGAAGGGAAUCAUCUCGCACUAACCCUGCCUCCCCACGUCCUCUCAGCGACACCAGCUCUGCCCAGCAGGUGCCCUAGGUCCAAAGAUACCUCUGCCAGAAGUUUGCAUUUGUCUUUCUACAUGAAGGAGUUUCUGGAGGACUGAUACUGUCUUUCCCCUGUGUGUUUGGAGGAGUUAAGCAGUGAGAGCAUCUAAAUCUGGAGUUUUCCUUUGUGGAAAGUUUCUUUAAAGUCAGCUGUUUGAGGUAUGAUUUGUAAAAAUAAAAUUUACCAAUUUCUAAGUAUAGUUUCAUGAGUUCUGACAAUUACAGGCAGUCAUGCACUUGUACCCACCACCACAAUCAGCAUAUGGAACAGUUCGUCACCCCAGAGAAGUCCCUGGCACCCUCCCGCAGCCAGUUCCCGCCGUCAGCCCGGCCCCGUGGGGCCAAGCACGUGUGCCUUUUUCUGUACCCCUCCCGAUUCAGCUGAUGCCUCUGGGGCUCCCCCGUGCUGCCGCCUGUGUGCCUGUGGCUAACCUCCACUCGGCUGAGGCACGAGCUCUCCGUGGACACUCAGACUUGGAAAUGAAGAGCUCUGAAAAUGUGCACAGUCUGAACGUCUUCAUGUCUUUGGAAAAAAACCUAGGACUGGGCUUGCCCGGUCAUGAGGUAAGAGUAUGUUUAACUUAAUUAGAAACUGCCAAACACUUUUGCCAAGUAGCUGCAUCUGUGCCGGCGAUGGAGGAGACUGCAGGGCCCCCCACCCUCACUAGUACUGUCUGAUUCCAGCCAUUCUCCUCCGUGUGCAGCGGUAUCUCAGCAAGAUUCUGAUUUACAUCUUCCUAAACAUGCUGAACAUCCUUCCAUGUGCUCAUUGCCAUGUGAGUUUCUCUUUGGUGAAGAGUCUUCUCAAACCUUUGGCCCAUUUAUUAUGAGGUUGUUUGUUUUCUUUUUGUGAAAGUGUGUGUACUAUUUUAAUAUAUGUAAAUUUUUUCAACUCCUUUGGCACAUAUUUUGUCAAAUUUAUUUCUAAGUAUGCCAUGUUUUUGAAGAUACUCUACAUGCCAUUAAAUUUUUUGUAACUUAAUUUUAAAAAAUUUUAUUGAGAUAAUGGUGGUUUCACAUGGAGCUUUAAUAAUAGAUCUGUGUACACCUUACCCAGUGUCUACUAAUGGUAACAUUUGCAAAACUAUAGUAUAAUAUCACAAAACUAUAGUGUAAUAGCAAUAUAUUAUACUGUUGAUACGAUUCAGCAGUCACACUCAGAUUCUCCCGCUGCAUACCCUUCUGAGAGUGUUCAGACCUACAUGGUUUCAUCAGCCAUGUGGGUUCCUGCAUCCUCCAGGUGGUCCACGUGCUAAACACCUCCCUCAUCCCCAGGGUCCCUCCUGCUGACGUUUUAUAACCUCCCUUCCUCUCACUCCACUCCAUCCCGAACGUCUGGCAACCACUAAUCUGCUCUCUAUUUCUAAAAUGUUGCCGUUUCAAAAAUGUUAUGAAAGUAGAAUCAUACAGUCUGUUUCCUUUUGGUGGUUUCUUUUACUAGGCUCAGUCCCUACUGGACACCCAUCCAGGUUGUGUGCAUCAAUAGUUUGGUCCUUUUGACACUGAGGAGUGUUCCAUGCUGUGGAUGGGCUACCGUUUGCUUAACCAUUCAGCUGUUGAAGGAUGUCUGGGCUGUCCCAGUUCUUGGGUGGUACCAAUAAAGCUGCUAUAAGCAUUCAUGCACAGGUGUUGUACGAACAUUAUCAACUGCUCUGGGAUAAACAUCCAACAGUACAAUGGCUGGAUCAGGUGGCAGCUGCACGUUUAGUUUUACAAGAAAACUUCCAAAUUAUUUUCCAGGGUGGCUGUACCAUUUUACGCCCCCUCAAGUGGCCCAGUGUCCCCGCGUCCGUACUGGCAUUUGCUCUUCUCCUUAAUUUUGAUUUUAGCUGUUCUGACAGGUUGUAGUGACAGUUCGUUGUGGUUUGGGGUCACAUCCCCCUGGCGGCA
Non-coding RNA from Vicugna pacos (alpaca), 2127 nucleotides. The record is from RefSeq and is a predicted model, not a curated record. Lineage: Eukaryota; Metazoa; Chordata; Mammalia; Artiodactyla; Camelidae.